This 297-nucleotide long non-coding RNA is filed under the name Coffea arabica (coffee). RNAcentral describes it as "long non-coding RNA (CARA_LNC007690)". The record is from RNAcentral. Lineage: Eukaryota; Viridiplantae; Streptophyta; Magnoliopsida; Gentianales; Rubiaceae.
CACCACGGCCUAAAAUGGUGGAUUAUUCGCUAACAAAGCCUCCUUGAAAAAUGAGGUGAAAUAGUCAAGCUAUUGACUAUAAAGAAGCGCUUAUUGGGAGGCAACCCAAUGUUUGUUUAAGUUUAUGUUAUUUUGGGGUGAUUUUAUGUUUAAAGUAUAUGUUUGAGUUAUUUUGUUAUUUUUCAUUUAUAGGUAUUGGAAAUGAAAGCAAAAGUGACCAAAUGAGGUGAAAAAGGCGAAGUUUGAUCAAGGAACUCAACCCCUCGAUUUGAGUAAUUGUUGUUUUUGAUUCGUUAC